CCGCCACAGCAGCCGCACCGCCGGGCUCCCUCUUGGUUCUUGGGGCCGGCGGUGUCCACACAGCGCAGAGGAGCGUCUGUGUGACACAGGAAGGCAGGCGGGUGAACAUAAGACGCCUCUGAGAUCAGCCCUGGGUCAGUCGUGACGGAAGGAGAGAAGCACAGGCCACAGGAGUGGCUCCAGGGGCAGCAGCGAACUUCAAAGCUCGCUGGCUCAUGUUCCUGGAAGAUAGGACCCUGGCAUCAGCCCGGUUUUCGGUGACAACAAUGGCACGAGCUGCCAGCAGAGGCUUCUCCCAGGUUCCUCUGGGCGAGUGAGGUAGCGGUUCCAGCUCCCCGUCCUGACUGAAUGGGACAUCCAGCCAGGUUUUCCCCCUUUGGAGUGCCGUCUUCCUCCUAAGAAGCUGAGUGAUUCUUCAAAAGGUCAGAGAGAGAACACUCUUGCUGGGUCAGUCAGGUGUCCAGGCCUUCCCUCCUCUGUGCUGCUUGUAGACAACCCCCACCCAGUCUCGACUAGACUUUGGUUAAACUCUGCAGUAACAUGAACUCGGCCUAGACUCUUUCUAAUGACUCCCUCUGCCAGUCCUCAGUGUUGGGGUCCCAGCUCAAGGUUGGAGGUUUCUCUGAGCCCACAGACAUGGAUCUGCCCAUCCCACGACUGCUGUCUGUUUCUGCUCAGAGCUCUGACUUUCUUAGUGUGAACAGUGUCUUCAAAAAGAGCUACGGAGCACAUUUUUGUUUCUUCCUCAUCCUGUUUGUCAGGGGCUACUGGGUGUGUGGUCUGUAACUUCCUACCUUCUCCGCCUUAUCUUACGGUGUUGGGACCUUCUUGGUGAACUCUGGCUUCGCAAGCUGGUUGGCCGCUGUUCAGGGUCUAUUAAACCUAGAAUCUUUCUUCAUCAAAAGAUACAGCAGUUGGCUCUGUAUGGUGGAUUGUGGGUGACUGUUUCCCUCUUGUGCUUUUCUGUUUCUUAUGGGAAACGUAGAUUUCCUUUAUAUCAAAGAGAAAAUAAGAUGUUUUUUUAGAAAAGGGAAAAAUAUGUUAAAAGUACCAGUUUGGUAACAAUCGCUCUUAUUGAUGGGUGUCUCAGUUCUUAGCUUCCUUCCAUCUCUUUAUGAAGUGUGCCCGGAUGUGUACAAAUAGUAUUUAAACCCAUGAAACGAGAUAGAUCAACUUUGUAUAUUAUGAUUUCCUCUAAAACUGUAUGUGUGAGGAGUUCCUGCUGUGGUGCAAAGGGACCGGUGGCAUCUUGGGAGUGCUGGGAUGCAGGUUCGAUCCCCAGCCUGGCACGGUGGGUUAAGGAUCCGGCGUUGCUGCCACUGCAGCUUAGCUCACAAUUGAAGCUUGGAUCAGAUCCCUGGCCCAGACGCUCCAUAUGCCAUGGGGCAGCAAAAAUGGAAAAAAAAAAAAAAGGAAAAAAAAAAAAAA
Molecule: non-coding RNA, 1428 nt
Organism: Sus scrofa (pig)
Lineage: Eukaryota; Metazoa; Chordata; Mammalia; Artiodactyla; Suidae
Source: RefSeq, a predicted model, not a curated record